GGGCACAUGGUCUAGUGGUAUGAUACUCCCUUCGCAUCUCCGACUGUGUCUGGGAGGGGUCCGGGGUUCAAUUCCCUGUGUGUCCA
Molecule: transfer RNA, 86 nt
Filed under: Xylaria arbuscula
Lineage: Eukaryota; Fungi; Ascomycota; Sordariomycetes; Xylariales; Xylariaceae
Description: tRNA-Ala
Rfam family: tRNA
About the family: Transfer RNA (tRNA) molecules are approximately 80 nucleotides in length.
Source: RNAcentral